UUGACUAGGUCAUGUAGGAUAGUGAUGUGGAGUGUUGACUUGAGUUAGUUUGUUAACUGAAUACCACGUGUCCAAUGUUUGGAGCCCCAUCAGAAGAGAUGUAACGGAAAUGAUAGACCCCACAUUGCUAAAGAGAAAGACGAAGUCCUGAAUUUUAUCUCACACAUGUGACCACUAUUUAUUUCAUUGUAUUUUGCAUCCAAAGCAUCUGUAUCAUAAUUUCCAUGUUCU
Molecule: long non-coding RNA, 231 nt
Filed under: Olea europaea (common olive)
Lineage: Eukaryota; Viridiplantae; Streptophyta; Magnoliopsida; Lamiales; Oleaceae
Description: long non-coding RNA (OEUR_LNC007119)
Source: RNAcentral